AUGCGCGCCGCGCCCGUUACGGGACAGGAACGGCAGUUGGUGCCCCGCGCAUGCGCUACGGCUCAGCACCGGGACUCCCCGCCGUGGCGGCGGGGCGCUAGGAGCGGCGGGAGCUCGUGCCGCGGCGGAGAAGCUUGAGGGCCCAAGGAUCAGUGUGUGGGGAAUCCUCUGCCUUGAGGGGAAACAGAUGGUGCAGCCUGGUUUACUGACAACACUUUGUCCCUGGUCCUGCAGAUACACAGGUGCUUCUCAAAAGAACCAUGAUGGUUUAAAAUAAAGCCAAAAUUACGCAUUUGCUGGGCAAGAACAUAUGUUAUUUGUACCUAAUAGUUUGACUCUAGUAGAGCCCAAAGGCAGAAAUGUUGACUGGUGCUCAGUCUGUUGGUUUCUGUAUAAACUCUCAAAAAAUCACCAUCCAGGUAAAGUCCCUGUUUUGGUGAGAAAAAGAGACCCUUGGGUGGCUGGCUUUCGUAUCUGCCUAGAAUCCUCUUGUUCAUCUCCCUGCUCUCCUCUUUGUUUUUGCUGCUUGGAUUAAAAUAGUUUUCAGAAGAUGCAGAAGUCAUUUUGUUGCUAUACACUAUGCGCAUGUGUCAGAGGCAGAAACAGGAAAAAAAUUUACCAUGGCCUUUAUAUUUGGAAGAAAAUGGACCUCAAGUUCUUUUGAGCAUUUGCUUUUCCCACUGGGUCAGUUUUUAUUACACUUUUUUUUCUGCAGAAAAAGAACCUGUCAAAUGAUAGAAAACAGCAAUUUAGACGGGAUGUUUGACACGUUGUACGCUUGUGAAACUCCAACUGUGCUUUGGGGUUCUCAGUUGUAGGCCAGGCUUUUGCCCAGAGUUUUCUCUGAAAAUUGAACACAAAGAGAUUGACAUCAUUGCCUGAGAGCUGACCUCUAGCUGUUAUCAUAGCAGUCCAUGGAUGGUACACAUCUGCACAUCCCUGAGGUCGUUGGUUGACACCAGAGUUUCCCAGAACACUCAGAUCAGUCUUCUAGGUAACGAUAUAUUUGGAUAUUGAGAAGGUGAAGGAACUAAGGUAAUAAAAGAAGAUGUUUUAAUAGGAAAGAAUGUACAAAUAUAUUUUCAGAAUAGUUGAACAAAGUGUGCUUAUGGUGGGUGCUGGAGUAUGGAGAACAGAUAUGACAGCAUGGAAAUAUUAUGAAGCAGCAUGUGCGCAAAAUAGCAUGUUGGGUAUUUUAUUGUAGCUCUUGUAUAAUUUUAGCUGACAACAAGUUAUUAAUUGUUAUAAAUUAAUGAAACAUUAGUGUAAAAUAUAUGUUAUUAGUUUAGCUUUAGAAAUCCAUGAAUUUGGUCACCUUUCCAAUGCAAGCAUCUUUCUAUUUUAGAGAACGUGGGGAAAUCAAGAUGCUGUGUUAAAUUUCACCUUACAUUUGGGUUUGUGAUGAUAAUCACAAAUCAGACAAUACACUUUUGGGGAAAAAAAUAGUAUCAGUAGAACUGAUACACAGUGAAUGUGCCCUUUAGAAUAACAUUUCUUGGAAAGGAGAUGGCUUGGAUCUAUAACAUUGAAGUGUUCUUACUUCUCUUUAUAUUCACUUCAUUAAUUACUCAGUUGAUUUUCUUGCUGCAAACAUCCAUAACGCUUAUUACUCUAUUCUUGAUCUGCACAAUGAUAGAAUAUUUUGCCAUGGUCAGAAUUAUCCAUAUGAGAGUGAUGUUGGACACCUGAGACAGGGUCAUGUUGUGAUCAGUAUGAAAGAAUGAUGGCUGGGUGAGGUUGUAUACUGGCGACUGAAAAGGCAGCCUGAACCAGCUGUGUUCCUAAGCCAUGUGCCACUGGCUCUGUGUGCUGUGGGCAGUGCUUCCUCCUUGGAAGGAAUCAUGCCUUAGAUGCACUGUAAGAAUAUCACCAUAGUGUUCACGUGUACCCACUACAAGAAAUACAGACCCGUUUGUAUCAGUAUGGCUACAGACUCCCACAGGGGUCUGCCAGUGUUUCAACAUCUGUCCAGACUCCAAACUCCUUUGUAGUUGUUUUCCAGGUUAGAUUUACCUAUCCUGUAAGUAAGCUUGUCCAAAAUGCAGGACUUUAUAUUGAGAUUUGCAGUGGUUUACCAAGUGGCUUGCAUCAAUCUGCCUCUCUGUCAUCAACUUCAGUAGUUCCCUCCUCUGCCUGACCAGACAGCUUGAUCAGUGAUGGUGUAUGUCUCUUCCAACUCAUUUCUUAAGUCUAAAUAAUAGAAAAACAAGAUAGGCAGAGAGUUAAUCCCUGUGGGAUGCUGCUAGAAACAUAAUGCCGUCAAUGCAUCAACUGCUGUUUGCAGUUGCAAUUUGAAACUUACCUAGCUAUGUUUUAAUAAUUCUAAAUGUGUUGUAUUGAUUUUGUAUGCUUUUAAUUAAUCAUUUUGUCCUUUGAUACUUCUUUAACGGCUUACAAAAAGAUUACACCUGUGUUAACACAUAGAGGUCUCAUUAAAAACAUAUUAGCUUAACAUAGGAGGUCUUGGGUUUCAUAAAGCUGUGUUGAUUAGUAUUAAUUUUUCUAUCCAUUCUUACUCAUCAAUUCCCAUAUAAGCCAUUUCUUUCACAGUCUGGUGUUGAUCUCAGUCUGAAAUAUGAGUGUUUACUUCCCUAAUUGUCCUUUUUGAAAAAUCACAGUGACUUCUACUUGCAAAUGAUCUGUUUACGGAAACACCUUCAAUAGCUGCUUUUCAGUAUGCUUUGGAUCACUGUUAGAAUAGGCACAUUGUGGGGUGGAUAUUGCAAGAAUAUUUGUAUUCUCAGUUUUAACAGUUCUACACUUUGUUUUGUAAUGAUCUAAUGGCCUUGGCAGGUUUUUCUUUUUGGUUUUGAUGCACACCAAAAGAUCUUUUGGAAAGUCUUUAACUUUUCUGUCCAGAUAAAUAAUCUUAGGUAAUUUUACCUCCUCCUUGUGUUAACACAAUCCAUUGCUUAUAGUCAGUGCUAUCCCAUUCCCUUACCAUGCUGUUAUUUUAUAUAUUUGUUUUUAUUAUUAGUCUGAUUUCUUUUUCUGAAAACCAAGUUAUGUUUUAAGAAGCGUUGUUUUCUUAUUGGCCUCUUCUGAAAUGUUUUUAUUCAGUCCUUAAUUCUCAAGUGUAUUUUUCUGUUUAAAUUAGUAAUUUCUUGUUGUUUUCAGUCAAAUAACCAUUUUUGAAACACCAGCUGCAUAUAUUUCUGAUCUGUAUGCUACUGUGUUUGCAUACAAACCAUGAGCAUUUGCACCUGAGCAACCGUUAGUUUUUAUUUUUAUAUCCACUUCCCCUUUAUCUUUCCAGAGGAGGUAGAAAGUAAAGACUUUUCUCUUUCAGUGGAGUGCUUUAUGAAGUAAGGUUGUUCUCUACAGUGUUCGAAAGGGACAUUUUGUCAUGUUCCACCUUUCAUUCUAAUUGGUCCUGCUUUGUACCAUUUCACUGAUCCACGUUUACUUGAAGGGCACAGCUGGGCUAUAGAUUUGACAUCUAAGUUGAUAGGUAAGUGGUGCUGUUUGUUUUAUUUGACCAGCUUUGUGAUUUGUUGAGUCCUAAAAUCUUCCAAAAUGAAUCA
This is a long non-coding RNA of Pezoporus occidentalis (night parrot), 3524 nucleotides long. RefSeq lists it as uncharacterized. Lineage: Eukaryota; Metazoa; Chordata; Aves; Psittaciformes; Psittacidae. The transcript has 3 exons. The record is from RefSeq and is a predicted model, not a curated record.